Molecule: long non-coding RNA, 1881 nt
Organism: Triplophysa rosa
Lineage: Eukaryota; Metazoa; Chordata; Actinopteri; Cypriniformes; Nemacheilidae
Exons: 3
Source: RefSeq, a predicted model, not a curated record
AACCGCUGGGACGGCAAACAAGCCUGAGGGCGAAGCGUGCAGGCCAACGGGGAGAAAUCAAACGUUAUUUGAGUUUUUAAAUACAUUUUAUAAUAUUAUAACACAUUGAACGUUAUUGCAGUAAUCUUGAGGUCGUUUCUGCUCGUCAGAAUAAUCUCGACCUUUGAAUUCACCAGGUUCACAUGGAUACAAGCCAGUAAAAAUCUUGUAACCUGAUGAUCAGUGAGAGAGAGAUUUGCCUGAGGUACCGCACACACACACAUCUGUACCGUCUCUCUCUCUCUCUACAGCGGUUCUGUUCAUCGGACGGUCACGUGGUCAUGACUCACAUUGGCCUCUGGUGUCAGAGCAAGGGUCAGGGCACACAGACAAUCCCCUCAGAGUCGCUUCUGUUCGUGUGUCAGCAGAAAAACACAAGAUGUUUGCUGGAGAGAGAGUCGCUGUUGACAGUCCGCAGAAAGAAACGGAGCCAAAGAAAGAGUUGAGAUGUGAAGAGUCAAUUGUGUCAGAAAUACUCCACAAACAGAGCUGGUAAUGAUGAGUAAGAAAUUAUAAUCAUCUCGUGAGAUAACAGUCAUUGUGUCUUUCUAUAGAACCACCUGAACUGUCUGUUGUCUAUGUAGGGAGCCUUCUGAGGCCUCAUCUUAAUGAAAAUGUAAUCUCAUAAGUGACUAAUUCAGAACGAUCGAUACUCGAAGAAACAACAUAUUUUGCAGCAUCGCAGAAAACAGGGAACGUUCUUUAAACGCUAUUAAAAUGUUCCUGCAGUAACGCAGUUAAUUGAGCAUUUUAUCACCAUUACAUUUUAUUGCUAAACGUUCCAAAAAACAUAUAAAAUGUUUUACUUUUGGGAAACAUUCAGGAAUUACGUUUUCACUAUGUUUUUUCAGUGUUGGGUGUAACUAGUUACUAAGUAAUUAGUUACUGUAAUUUAAUUACUUUUCCCUUGGAAAAAGUAAAGUAAGGGAUUACUCUUAUUUUUUCUAUAAUUUAAUUACAGUUACUUCUGAUGUAAUUAAACUAAAUACUUUGUGUAAUAUGUGUGCAGAAGAGGAAUUGAUAUCAAAAUUCAAAGUCCAACUUUAAAAUCCGUGCUUUGAUGUAUAAUUCUCACAUUUGUAAUUAAUAAUAAUACUUUAUGUAGUUUAAUAUUAUUUAUUUAAAUGAAUUAAAAGAGCCAUUUCAUGUCUAUCCUUGAAUCACUUAACUCAUCAAGGUUGAUGUAAGAUAUAUAAUAUAUAUAUAUAAUAAUAUAUAAUUCAAUUAUUUGUCAAGUAUGGUGACCCAUACCCGAAAUGUGACUCUGCAUUUAACCCAUCCAGAGAGUAGUGAACACACGCACAGCAAGUGGUGAACAAACGUACACCCGGAGCAGUGGGCAGCUAUCACUGCAGCGCCCGGGGAGCAAGUAGGGGUAAGGUGCCUUGCUCAAGGGCACCUCAGUCGUUACCCGCCGGCCCUGGGAAUCGAACCGGCAACCUUCUGGUCACGAAUCUGACUCUCUAUAGAAAGUAAUUAGUAAUUAAUUACUUUUUCAGAGUAACUUACCCAACACUGGUUUUUUUUAGUUAGGAUACCAGUAUUGGGUAAAAAAUACAUUUAAAUGAUUUCCUCCAUUCAUAUUUGUUUCUAGAGCGCUUUCGCAAAUUUGCAAAAGAAAAUAUUUAGCAGUGUAGAAGUAAGGAAAAGAAAAAGAAAUGAUAUGAAACUAAUCAAAUGCAUACUAUUCUUGUCUGUGAAUAUAUCAGGCAGUCUGAUGUCUGAUGGAUUGUUUUGUGAAAUAAUUCAUUCAUUUCUGUGUGUAUUUACAAGAUUUUUAAUGAAUGUUUUUGCAUGUGUAAGAUUGUUGAUCUCUUGCUCUAACAUUAAAUGACUCUCAAA